RNAcentral lists this long non-coding RNA (308 nucleotides) under Prunus persica (peach). RNAcentral describes it as "long non-coding RNA (PPER_LNC003791)". Lineage: Eukaryota; Viridiplantae; Streptophyta; Magnoliopsida; Rosales; Rosaceae. The record is from RNAcentral.
AAACCUUUUCCAUGAUGGCUCAUUGUUUCAUUAAAAGUUGCUCCAAACAUUUCACCUUUCCGUUGUGGCUCUCCCCUCUUCUCUCAAACCUUUUCUUUCUGUCAGCACACCCAACACAUCCUCAGGUCUCACCCCUAUGAAAUAUACUCUCACCCGGUUACACUUCUCUCUUCCAAGCACUUUAGAAUAUACAAUAUUGAUUUCCUCUACUGUUAUUUCAUCUGGUUUUUUUAUUUCUAAUAUCAAUGAUCUUUGAAUUCAUAUAUAUAUAUAUAUAUAUGUUAACUGUGCAUUCUACUACAUGGACG